GGGUGAUUGGCUCAGCUGGUUAGAGCGCAGUCCUGAUAAGACUGAGGUCAGUGGUUCGAGUCCACUAUCACCCA
Molecule: transfer RNA, 74 nt
Filed under: Patescibacteria group bacterium
Lineage: Bacteria
Also listed under: 1 other name
Description: tRNA-Ile
Rfam family: tRNA
About the family: Transfer RNA (tRNA) molecules are approximately 80 nucleotides in length. Their secondary structure includes four short double-helical elements and three loops (D, anti-codon, and T loops). Further hydrogen bonds mediate the characteristic L-shaped molecular structure. tRNAs have two regions of fundamental functional importance: the anti-codon, which is responsible for specific mRNA codon recognition, and the 3' end, to which the tRNAs corresponding amino acid is attached (by aminoacyl-tRNA synthetases). tRNAs cope with the degeneracy of the genetic code in two manners: having more than one tRNA (with a specific anti-codon) for a particular amino acid; and 'wobble' base-pairing, i.e. permitting non-standard base-pairing at the 3rd anti-codon position.
Source: RNAcentral